This 478-nucleotide ribosomal RNA is filed under the name uncultured bacterium. RNAcentral describes it as "SSU rRNA". It matches the Rfam family "Bacterial small subunit ribosomal RNA", at positions 26 to 518 of the family's 1533-position model. The record is from RNAcentral.
AGAACGAACGCUGGCGGCGUGGAUAAGACAUGCAAGUCGAACGAUUAAACUCCUUCGGGAGAUAUAAAGUGGCGAACGGGUGCGUAACACGUGAGCAACCUGCCCAAAAGUUGGGGAUAGCUCGCCGAAAGGCGAAUUAAUACCGAAUGUGGUUAGGGGAGACAUCUCCCUCAAACUAAAGCCGCAAGGCGCUUUUGGAUGGGCUCGCGGCCUAUCAGCUUGUUGGUGAGGUAACGGCUCACCAAGGCUUUGACGGGUAGCUGGUCUGAGAGGACGACCAGCCACACUGGGACUGAGAUACGGCCCAGACACCUACGGGUGGCAGCAGUCGAGAAUUUUUCGCAAUGGGGGAAACCCUGACGGAGCGACGCCGCGUGAAGGAUGAAGGUCAUUAGAUUGUAAACUUCUGUCAUGCGAGAACAAGAAAGUGAUAGUAUCGCAAGAGGAAGGGGCGGCUAACGUCUGCGCCAGCAGCCGC